GGAGGAUCUUCAGAAGAAUUAUGGCAAGAUUAAUACAUUCAUCUCAAUAUUCUUUUUAUUAAAUUAAACCAUUGUAUUGCUGUUCAUUAGCGGAAAUAUAAACUCAACUUUUCAUUUUCUAUCUUUUAGAGACUUUAAAACAGGUGAAAGAGAAGGUUGAAGCAGAUUUGAAAGAACUUCGAAGGAAUACCAACACGUGUGUCUAUGCCGUUGACAGAGAUUGGAAAAAAAUAAUUGAAGCUUGUGUCAAUGUGACUCUAGACCCCGACACAGCCAGUCCCAGCCUCACAGUCUCUGAAGACGGCUCACGAGUGAGAUUCACAGGGGAGGGAUCAGCAGAGUGGCCCAGUGUGCUGGGCAGGGAGGGGUUCACCUCAGGGGGGCACUACUGGGAGGUGGAGGUGGGGGAGAAGGGCUACUGGGUCCUGGGGGUCUCCACACACCCUCAUGAGAAGAGCAUACCUCAGAAACCAGGGGAGGGCUACUGGCUUAUGAGGCUGGUUAAAGGGAAGACCUGUAAAGCUGUGAGCCAGUCAGUGGAUCAGACCUUAAAUCUGGAGAAGAUGUGCAAGAUGUGGGGGGUGUAUCUGGAUCACGAGGGAGGGAGGCUGUCGUUUUACAAUGCAGAGACCAGAUUUCACAUCCAUACUUUAGAAGGCUCAUUCCCUGGGCAGGUCUACCCCAUAUUCAGCCCAGGGUCACACGAUAAAGGACCCUUGAUAAUCAAUACAAAAGUGAAGAAUGUGUAGUCCUGACUAGUAGCCUACUACACUAUAAUAUAUAUAUUAUAGAUUUGCUGGUUUAAGAGUGGUCUUGGUUUGUAUAGAAAAGCCACACGGAUGAAUGCUCACUUUUCCAUGUAGUUGAUAUUUAAACUGAAGCUGGAAUAUCACCUGGAUACUAUUGCUGGCUGAGAUUAAUGUUCUGAUUUGUGCUAUAUUGAUGCUAAUCUUCUUUUACAUUUUAUUUUCAAUGUAUUAUUUUACCAACUUUAAUAAAAAUAUAUAUA
Long non-coding RNA from Acipenser ruthenus (sterlet), 1009 nucleotides. RefSeq lists it as uncharacterized. The transcript has 5 exons. NCBI's taxonomy places the organism in Eukaryota, Metazoa, Chordata, Actinopteri, Acipenseriformes, Acipenseridae. The record is from RefSeq and is a predicted model, not a curated record.